Molecule: microRNA precursor, 295 nt
Filed under: Paramuricea clavata
Lineage: Eukaryota; Metazoa; Cnidaria; Anthozoa; Malacalcyonacea; Plexauridae
Source: RNAcentral
GACGUCGAAUAUCGACGUCAUCAACACGAAAGUUGAUCGUGUUUAUGUGGUCGAAUAUCGACGUCAUAAACAUCAAAGUUGAUCUUGUUUAUGACGUCCAAUAUCGACGUUAUAAACACAAAAGUUGAUCGUGGUUAUGAUGUCGAAUAUCGACGUCAUAAACACCAAAGAUGAUCGUGUUUAUGACGUCGAAUAUCGACGUCAUAAACACCAAAGUUGAUCGUGUUUAUGACGCCGAAUAUCGACGUCAUAAACACCAAAGUUGAUGGUGUUUAUGUCGUCGAAUAUCGACGUC